This is a microRNA precursor of Aotus nancymaae (Ma's night monkey), 94 nucleotides long. The record is from Ensembl. NCBI's taxonomy places the organism in Eukaryota, Metazoa, Chordata, Mammalia, Primates, Aotidae.
CCUUCUCGCAGAGGCUCUUGACCUGGGACUUGGACAGCUGCUUGCACUCAUUCAGCUGCUGGACCCACUGGUCCAGCUCUUUGGUGAACACCUU